AGCGUAGGCGGACUUUUAAGUGGGAUGUGAAAUACUCGGGCUCAACCUGAGUGCUGCAUUCCAAACUGGAAGUCUAGAGUGCAGGAGGGGAAAGUGGAAUUCCUAGUGUAGCGGUGAAAUGCAUAGAUAUUAGGAAGAACACCGGUGGCGAAGGCGACUUUCUGGACUGUAACUGACGCUGAGGCUCGAAAGCGUGGGGAGCGAACA
RNAcentral lists this ribosomal RNA (207 nucleotides) under uncultured bacterium. Its description in RNAcentral is "partial 16S ribosomal RNA". It matches the Rfam family "Bacterial small subunit ribosomal RNA", at positions 568 to 774 of the family's 1533-position model. The record is from RNAcentral.